GCACGGUGGAUGCCUUGGCACUAGAAGCCGAUGAAGGACGUUACUAACGACGAUAUGCUUUGGGGAGCUGUAAGUAAGCUUUGAUCCAGAGAUUUCCGAAUGGGGAAACCCAGCAUGAGUUAUGUCAUGUUAUCGAUAUGUGAAUACAUAGCAUAUCAGAAGGCACACCCGGAGAACUGAAACAUCUUAGUACCCGGAGGAAGAGAAAGAAAAUUCGAUUCCCUUAGUAGCGGCGAGCGAAACGGGAAGAGCCCAAACCAACAAGCUUGCUUGUUGGGGUUGUAGGACACUCUAUACGGAGUUACAAAGGACGACAUUAGACGAAUCAUCUGGAAAGAUGAAUCAAAGAAGGUAAUAAUCCUGUAGUCGAAAAUGUUGUCUCUCUUGAGUGGAUCCUGAGUACGACGGAGCACGUGAAAUUCCGUCGGAAUCUGGGAGGACCAUCUCCUAAGGCUAAAUACUCUCUAGUGACCGAUAGUGAACCAGUACCGUGAGGGAAAGGUGAAAAGCACCCCGGAAGGGGAGUGAAAUAGAACCUGAAACCGUGUGCUUACAAGUAGUCAGAGCCCGUUAAUGGGUGAUGGCGUGCCUUUUGUAGAAUGAACCGGCGAGUUACGAUUUGAUGCAAGGUUAAGCAGUAAAUGUGGAGCCGUAGCGAAAGCGAGUCUGAAUAGGGCGUUUAGUAUUUGGUCGUAGACCCGAAACCAGGUGAUCUACCCUUGGUCAGGUUGAAGUUCAGGUAACACUGAAUGGAGGACCGAACCGACUUACGUUGAAAAGUGAGCGGAUGAACUGAGGGUAGCGGAGAAAUUCCAAUCGAACCUGGAGAUAGCUGGUUCUCUCCGAAAUAGCUUUAGGGCUAGCCUCAAGUGAUGAUUAUUGGAGGUAGAGCACUGUUUGGACGAGGGGCCCCUCUCGGGUUACCGAAUUCAGACAAACUCCGAAUGCCAAUUAAUUUAACUUGGGAGUCAGAACAUGGGUGAUAAGGUCCGUGUUCGAAAGGGAAACAGCCCAGACCACCAGCUAAGGUCCCAAAAUAUAUGUUAAGUGGAAAAGGAUGUGGCGUUGCCCAGACAACUAGGAUGUUGGCUUAGAAGCAGCCAUCAUUUAAAGAGUGCGUAAUAGCUCACUAGUCGAGUGACACUGCGCCGAAAAUGUACCGGGGCUAAACAUAUUACCGAAGCUGUGGAUUGUCCUUUGGACAAUGGUAGGAGAGCGUUCUAAGGGCGUUGAAGCAUGAUCGUAAGGACAUGUGGAGCGCUUAGAAGUGAGAAUGCCGGUGUGAGUAGCGAAAGACGGGUGAGAAUCCCGUCCACCGAUUGACUAAGGUUUCCAGAGGAAGGCUCGUCCGCUCUGGGUUAGUCGGGUCCUAAGCUGAGGCCGACAGGCGUAGGCGAUGGAUAACAGGUUGAUAUUCCUGUACCACCUAUAAUCGUUUUAAUCGAUGGGGGGACGCAGUAGGAUAGGCGAAGCGUGCGAUUGGAUUGCACGUCUAAGCAGUAAGGCUGAGUAUUA
Molecule: ribosomal RNA, 1515 nt
Filed under: Staphylococcus aureus
Lineage: Bacteria; Bacillati; Bacillota; Bacilli; Caryophanales; Staphylococcaceae
Description: partial 23S ribosomal RNA
Rfam family: Bacterial large subunit ribosomal RNA
Source: RNAcentral